UGGGCCUUGCCAGCAUUUUAUACCCUUGCUACAAGGAGACAAAACAAGGGUUCAAGGGAACGACAGAGGAUAUUGACGCCCUUCCUUGAAAUAAAUUGGAACCCAAACUAAGCUGCCAUCUUUGUCUCGGGCAAUUCGGAGUUCGCCUCGCAUUUCCAGGUGAAGAACGCGGUUCAGAAGGAAACAUUGAAAUGAAAUGCAUACACUCAGCGCUUACCACCUCAAAAAACAAACAAACAAAACGGUAAAAGAGAAACGGCUCCAGGUAAAUUUGGCUAAUUUACUUGGUUGAAUUGACAAUCGCUGAUAAAGUUAAACUGCGCAGGAGGAGGACACCUAGCUAAAAGAUGCAGGUGUGCAAGCCCCGCUGAGAUUCUGCCAAGAUGUGAGCUUUAGCAAGAGAAGAUGAAAAGUUAAUUAAUGCAACCUGGAUAUACAGAGCAUUGGACGACGUUUUGAAAACACCUGGAAGUAACGUCACACAAAUGCUAGCUUUAAUGGCUUUCCUUGGCCACAAUGUAAUGUGCACAAUUAUUACGCCAAGGAGACUUUUCUAAAGGGGAAAAGCCACGCAGCUGGGAAAAAAGCUUCCAUCGCCUUGGAAAAGGGCGCUAGCUUUACAGCAGCACACUGGGAUAGGGAAAACAUAUUUUGGAUGAAUAACAUUAACUGUUAUGUGUCUAGAACCAAGACACAGUGAACACAUGGCGUCUUCUCCACCUAUUAAAGGAACUAUGACAGAACUUGAGGUGAACUUCAUUAGACAUCCACAUUACGCCUGGUGGCAACUUGGGAAUUUGAAUUUUGGACAGAGAUGGAGUUCGCUAUGGACUGGAUGAAUGGUGACCUCAAAAGAUGGAAUUAUGUACUGGAGGGGACAUUCGACACACUUAGGAGACAUUGUCUGUCUACAAAAGUAAUGACUGCAGUCGACGGGGGGAUUCUCAGCCAGUGAACGCCUUAUUAUUUGAUUAUUUGAGACUGCUCUUAAAAGUGUAGAGUCUUGGUGACGCUUAAUUAAGUGGCUCUGAUGGUGUGGAGCCAUCACACGCGAUUGAAGGACAGGGAAGAACUGAAAACAAAUUAAGCCCUUUUGGGAUGAUGUUUCUGGCACAGCAUGUGGACUAGAAUUGAGACGUGUUUUGCCCCUUCUGUUCUACCUCUACCUAAUCUCAAAUGAAGACUGCUUAUCACGUUGACGUAUUGUAAAAGGAAAGAUGUCACUAAUUGAACAAAAAUAAAGCCUUGUGGUUAAAUUCUGA
Long non-coding RNA from Micropterus salmoides (largemouth bass), 1262 nucleotides. RefSeq lists it as uncharacterized. The transcript has 4 exons. The record is from RefSeq and is a predicted model, not a curated record. Lineage: Eukaryota; Metazoa; Chordata; Actinopteri; Centrarchiformes; Centrarchidae.